This 1422-nucleotide long non-coding RNA is filed under the name Lepisosteus oculatus (spotted gar). RNAcentral describes it as "lncRNA (ENSLOCG00000021114.1)". The record is from RNAcentral. Lineage: Eukaryota; Metazoa; Chordata; Actinopteri; Semionotiformes; Lepisosteidae.
GGCUUUCCUAAUCCUAUAUAAAUCCUGCUUACCAGCAAAAUUUCAGAACCUCCAGUUUCUUCACCAGAAGAGGUUAUGUAAUUGAGACUUUGAGUUUAGUGUCAAAGAGAUUAUUACUACAUUUGAAUUCAAGACAGAGCACAAAAACCAUUAUGGCCAAGCUGGUGUGUCUGAUGCUGGUGAUUCUUGUUUUGGCAGCAAUCUGCAGCAACUAUAUGGUUGACUCUCAGAGACGACCAUAUCUGUUAAAAAAUGACUGCGGUUGCAAAGUGAUGAAGAAUAAGAAGGUGAGCUGUCAAAGAAUUCCAAAAUCAAACGAGGAGAAGCUUCAAAUGAUCAAGUGCCUCUGCAAAAAGCAUCAUCCAGUCCUCAACAAGAAGCUGAGCACUGACUUUCAAAAUGCAUGCAAGAAACUGCAAGAUCAUUUCUUCAACUCACUUCUCCCCCUACCCCUGUCCUGAGAAGAUUCCCCCCUGGACGGCAUUUACAGUAGAAAUACAACACCAGCUAAUGCACUAUAAAGGGCUGCUCCUCGAGAUUAUUACACUUUGGGCACUGCGAUGGGAAACAGCUUCACAUACAAUCUGCAGUCCAUUAGAGUUGAAAAAUGACAUUUUUGUACUAGUGCAACAUUUAAUCUUGUGCAUAAUUCAAACCAAAUGCUGUAGUUGAGGAUAGUUUACAUUGAGAUUAUUAUUCAAGAGCACAAAACAUAAAUUUUUCCUCUGCUUUGCUUUACAAUUUGUUUGUAAUUGCUAAAUGACUUUGGUGUUGACUGGGCCUCCUGUAAUUACCAGUGGAAAAGCAAUAUAUCUUUUAUAAUGAAUAACUCGUUAAACCAUGCAACUACAUACUGUAGAGUUAAUACAAAGGGAAGAAACUACGUAUUCAAACAUUGAUCACUAUUAGGUUCUUGAGGGAGCACAAACAGUUGUAUAUUAGUAAAUAAAUCCAAUGUUGAGUUAGACACAUUAUUGGUCUUUAUGUUACAUUUCAUUUCUUUUUUAUGUGGUUUCUGGUUUUAAUGUGAAAAUCGAUGUGCAAUUUCAUAUUUCCCUAUUGUAGAGCCAGACUAAAGUGAACAAACCCUCACGUCCUCCUCAGGUUGAAGUUAGCUUGCUUGGGUGUGUACAUGUGUCUAAUUCCUACAGAGUUUCACUAGAAUAAUCAGGAGAGAGUAACCCUCAGCCUCAGGAAGCCACCACACAUACUGUAAUAUUGUAUUUUCUGUAUAAUACACAGGUUAUGUGUUGACAAGUUGUGAUAUUAUGAGACAAUAAAAUAUUACUCUAUGUAAUGUAGAAUUUGCAAUGAAAAUGGAAAGUCUAAAACAAUGUUGUAUUCAUGCUCAAAAAACAAAUAAAGAAUUCACUAUACACCUGAAGAAGGCUCCACAGCUGAAACGUUGUGUUUCCUUUCUUC